Molecule: ribosomal RNA, 423 nt
Filed under: uncultured bacterium
Lineage: Bacteria
Description: bacterial SSU rRNA
Rfam family: Bacterial small subunit ribosomal RNA
Source: RNAcentral
AUUGAACGCUGGCGGCAGGCCUAACACAUGCAAGUCGAGCGGUAGAGAGGUGCUUGCACCUCUUGAGAGCGGCGGACGGGUGAGUAAUACCUAGGAAUCUGCCUGGUAGUGGGGGAUAACGUUCGGAAACGGACGCUAAUACCGCAUACGUCCUACGGGAGAAAGCAGGGGACCUUCGGGCCUUGCGCUAUCAGAUGAGCCUAGGUCGGAUUAGCUAGUUGGUGAGGUAAUGGGCUCACCAAGGCUACGAUCCGUAACUGGUCUGAGAGGAUGAUCAGUCACACUGGAACUGAGACACGGUCCAGACUCCUACGGAGGCAGCAGUGGGGAAUAUUGGACAAUGGGCGAAAGCCUGGAUCCAGCCAUGCCGCGUCGUGUGAAGAAGGUCUUCGGAUUGUAAAGCGACUUUUAACGUUAGGGGUA